GACAGAGGGUGCAAACGUUGUUCGGAAUUACUGGGCGUAAAGCGUGUGUAGGCGGUUCUCUAAGUCGGAUGUGAAAUCCCUGGGCUCAACCCAGGAAGUGCACUCGAAACUGGAGGGCUAGAGUAUCGGAGAGGUUGGUGGAAUUCUCGGUGUAGAGGUGAAAUUCGUAGAUAUCGAGAGGAACACCGGUGGCGAAGGCGGCGACCUGGUCCUUAUACUGACGCUGAGGCGCGAAAGCGUGGGGAGCGAACAGG
RNAcentral lists this ribosomal RNA (254 nucleotides) under uncultured bacterium. Its description in RNAcentral is "partial 16S ribosomal RNA". It matches the Rfam family "Bacterial small subunit ribosomal RNA", at positions 524 to 776 of the family's 1533-position model. The record is from RNAcentral.